UGUCGUAUGCAAUCAUCCAAUUCAAUAACGUUAGGAGAAUCUGAAGGUUAAUUUUAAGCGGACCUAAUUAACUUGGGGCAUUGAGAAUUCGUGGUUUAUUGAAAAGCAAUUGGAAAUCGUUUUGAAUGCAAGUAUAACAUGUGUGGAGAUGAACCCCUUAGCUAGCCUUCCAUCCAUUCAUUUAAACCAAAUUCGUUUUCAAAACUGUUUUGUUUUACAGAGUUUAUGUCUUGUUUUAAAUUCGUCCAAACCAAUUCCCCCUUUGUUUUAAAGUGUCAAAUUAGUUAGUAAGUGUUUUACUUUGUGUUUUUAAGUGUUUUGAUUCAAGUUAAAACCCAAAUUCGUCCAAUUUGGUGAUUAGUGUCCAAAACUGCCCAGAAAGUGGUUUUUAGGCUGUUUUGAGUCUUUUGGUUUGUUUUAGUGUUUUAGAGUUUAGUUUUGCAUUCUUUGAGUCUAGUUUAGUAUUUUAAACUUGUUUUUACGUAUUUGAGUCAAUUCCAAGUGAUUUUGCAAUCCCUCCUAAUCCCCGGUCUAGAACGAUCCCUACUUACAUACAUUGCUACAAUUGAUAAAAAGAGGUUUUAAUUUGAGUGCUAGUUAAUAUCAUACCAAAUUUUGGCGCCGUUGCCGGGGAUUAGCAACUUUGCUAAUCCCUUGGAUUGUUAUUUUCAUUUUUCUUAUUAGAUCAUAUUCUUAUGUUAUUUUGUUUUUUGUUUUAGGUACUUGUUUAUGACUCGGAGUUCUAAUCCGGUUCACGAACAUAUUUUAGACUUUGACGACGAUUUUGAGCGUUAGUUGAGACGAAAGAGGAAGAACCCGGAACCUAGUGAAUCAAGUGCAAGUUCCGAGUCCGUUUCUGAAGUUGAAGAGGAAGUAGAAGACAUGGCAGUGGACAACCGAACGAUCAAGGAGCUUUCCGCUUCGGGAUUGGAUAAUGCCGCACCUCUAUGUAUCCAAUACCCUAGGGCGGCUCAGGACAAAACUGCCGAGUUCGAAUUGAAGUCAAGCUUGUUACAUCACAUUCCGAAGUACCAUGGGCUGUCCAUGGAAGAUCCAAACAAGCACUUGAAGGAGUUUGAAGUCGUUUGCUCAAGCAUGACUCCGGUAAACGUGGACAGGAGUAUAUGGAAGAUGAAGGCUUUCCCCUUUUCUCUUAUGGAAAAGGCGAAAGAUUGGUUAUAUGAAUUAGCUCCCGGAACAGUCACAUCUUAGGAGAGCAUGAAACGGGCUUUCUUAGAGAAGUUUUUUCCAACCUCUCGAGUCAUUCUCCUACGAAAAAGGAUAAGUGGAAUUCAACAAGAAGAAGGUGAGUCUUUUCCUACAUAUUAUGAACGUUUUAAAUCUCUUGUUGCUUCUUGUCCACAACAUCAAAUGAAGGAGGAGCUUCUUCUACAAUACUUCUACGAGGGACUUCUACCAAUCGAACGACAAAUGCUAGAUGCCUCGGUGAUGCGUAAAAUAACUAAACACACAAAUUAAACCCUCUUGUUGACAAAUGUAGUAUGGAUAAGUAGGGAUCGUUCUUAAACCGGGGAUUAGGAGGGAUUGCUAAAACACUCUAAACUGACUCAAAUCUGUAAAACAAAGUUUAAAAUACUAAACUAGACUCAAAGAAUGCAAAACUAAAAUCUAAAAUACUAA
RNAcentral lists this long non-coding RNA (1641 nucleotides) under Malus domestica (apple). RNAcentral's name for it is "long non-coding RNA (MDOM_LNC020759)". Lineage: Eukaryota; Viridiplantae; Streptophyta; Magnoliopsida; Rosales; Rosaceae. The record is from RNAcentral.